This is an RNA transcript of Brassica oleracea var. oleracea, 1573 nucleotides long. It is a transcript of the gene named choline-phosphate cytidylyltransferase 2-like, with no coding region annotated. Lineage: Eukaryota; Viridiplantae; Streptophyta; Magnoliopsida; Brassicales; Brassicaceae. The transcript has 5 exons. The record is from RefSeq and is a predicted model, not a curated record.
CAUAAUCCUAAUCUGAUAAGGCUGAAAAGUGUGUCCUUCUCUCUUCUGCCUGCGACGGCUAUGGUGACGCUAGAGUUUCUUCACCGUUACUAAAACAGUUUUAGUUAUGGUUUCUUGGUGUUUAAUCCCAAAUCUGACGCCCACUAUAUUUAUACCCCCUUGAGUUUGCGUCCUUGAAGCUCUGUCGAUUUGGGUAUAAAUAUGUUCGUAUUUCUCUUCUAGAAAUCAUCCUCUCCUCAUCACUCUUCUCUUAUCUCCUUAGAGUAUACUAAUUCACUGUUUAAUGGCUUCCUCGAGGGUGGUCUUCUCCGAUUUGAAGUCCAGCCCACAGAAUAGAAAGAAUAAAUUUUACCAGAUCCAAACUGUAAAACGGCUGCACAACGAGUGGAUAGAGAAUACAUAUCGAUGGGUCACUGGAUUUCUGGAAAUAUUUGAAGAAGGUUUCAUAAGAAGGGGACUGCAAUCAGAGGGGGUAUUCAAGAGAGGUGAAUCAGAAAAUUCCCAGAAACAAACUGGAGAAUGGUGAGUAUGACGACGCAGACGAUCAAUUCUAUGAAGAAUAUUUUGACCAUGACUUGGGCAGGGAUGAGUAUAAAGAUGAACGACACUAUGCAAGGGUAAAGAUGUUGAAGAAGAGGAAGAGAAAACUGUUAAGACGGAUGCAAAAGACAACAAAAUCAUUUCACUCAUGACAUGGAAAGGAAGUGAAAAAAGCAUUGUGCAUGAUAACGAUGAUGCAGUAAGUCGAGAAAAUCACAAGGUCUUGAAGAACAAAAUAGAAGGUCAACCUCUAUUCAUAUGUCACGGUUAGAUCAAGUGGGGAUGAACUAGACGCCAUGGCUGAGUCAUUGCCCAGGGUUAACUAGAAGGGUGGUCGGGUCAGUUACAUGAUCAAGCCAAGGUUCAUGAGCUUCAAGCCAUGUUUGCAGGGGAAGCAACAUAUAUAACCCACUACUCUACAAUUCUUGGUGCUUAGUUUAGUUGUUUCAAGGAAGCCAAUAGGCUUCUCAAGCAUUAAAAAGUGAUCCUUGAGUGUUUGUUUUAAGAUAUGUAUUUUUGGUCAAUGUGUUUAGAGAAGCUUAAUCAGUUUUGUAAGAUUUUUUUUGUUAAGAAAGAAUAAACUUCUAUUAUAUGUCACGAUUUUUUCUGGAGUAGGAAGCAUAUAAGAGAAGUGUAGAACAGUUGGUGAAGCAAUAGAAUGGGUUUAGGUCUACAAGAGGAGGAGAUUCGCAUAUGGGCUGCUCGGGUUGUAAAAUUUCCAGUGGAGGAGGAAUGUGAGGUUUUGGAUACAUGAGCAACACAGAGGAAUUGGUUAUAGCUUGGAGACUUGACAUAUAUAUAUAUAUAUAUACAUAUAUAUAUAUAUAUAUCUACAUUUAUAGACAUGUGAAUAUUGUGGAGUGACUUUUCUACAGAAAUUUAUUAGAUUCCUAUAAUUUUCACAUUGAGCUUCUGUGCUUUUUGUUUAGUCUUUGUCCCAAUUAGUAAUUUGUUAUCAGUCCUUUUUUUCUUUGCUGUAAAGUGACAAAGACAAUAUGGAACCAAAACAAGAAAGAAAGAGAUUCGUGUCCCU